UCCACUGAACUCAAGCAUAUCAUUUAGCAAAGGAAAAGACAAACAAAAAUUGCUUUAGUAACGGCGAGAGGAAGGGAGAAGUCCAGCGUUGAAUCUCUCGGUAUUACAUCGUCGAGAAAUGCAGCGUAUAGGGGUGGCUCUCAGUGCGUACCGUAUGUCCAAAGUCCCUUUGACGGUGUCAAUAUUCUUUAGACGGCGCCAGUCCUGAGUGGACAGUGGAGCAAGCUGCAGGGCUAUAUUUUGGGGUCGGGCAGCCCAAAGUGGGCGAUAAACUUCAUCCAAGGCUAAUGUGGCCGCGAAUUCGACACCGAACAACUACAUU
RNAcentral lists this non-coding RNA (322 nucleotides) under Necator americanus (New World hookworm). RNAcentral describes it as "Eukaryotic large subunit ribosomal RNA". It matches the Rfam family "Eukaryotic large subunit ribosomal RNA", at positions 24 to 354 of the family's 3401-position model. Lineage: Eukaryota; Metazoa; Nematoda; Chromadorea; Rhabditida; Ancylostomatidae. The record is from Rfam by way of RNAcentral.